RNAcentral lists this ribosomal RNA (468 nucleotides) under uncultured bacterium. RNAcentral describes it as "partial 16S ribosomal RNA". It matches the Rfam family "Bacterial small subunit ribosomal RNA", at positions 28 to 507 of the family's 1533-position model. The record is from RNAcentral.
GACGAACGCUGGCGGCGUGCUUAACACAUGCAAGUCGAACGGAAAGGCCCUGCUUUUGUGGGGUGCUCGAGUGGCGAACGGGUGAGUAACACGUGAGUAACCUGCCCUUGACUUUGGGAUAACUUCAGGAAACUGGGGCUAAUACCGGAUAGGAGCUCCUGCUGCAUGGUGGGGGUUGGAAAGUUUCGGCGGUUGGGGAUGGACUCGCGGCUUAUCAGCUUGUUGGUGGGGUAGUGGCUUACCAAGGCUUUGACGGGUAGCCGGCCUGAGAGGGUGACCGGCCACAUUGGGACUGAGAUACGGCCCAGACUCGUACGGGAGGCAGCAGUGGGGAAUAUUGCACAAUGGGCGGAAGCCUGAGGCAGAAACGCCGCGUGCGGGAUGACGGCCUUCGGGUUGUAAACCGCUUUCGCCUGUGACGAAGCGUGAGUGACGGUAAUGGGUAAAGAAGCACCGGCUAACUACGCG